This 251-nucleotide ribosomal RNA is filed under the name uncultured bacterium. Its description in RNAcentral is "partial 16S ribosomal RNA". It matches the Rfam family "Bacterial small subunit ribosomal RNA", at positions 524 to 774 of the family's 1533-position model. The record is from RNAcentral.
UACGUAGGGGGCAAGCGUUAUCCGGAUUUACUGGGUGUAAAGGGAGCGCAGGCGGCAGCGCAAGUCUGAUGUGAAAGCCCGGGGCCCAACCGCGGGACUGCAUUGGAAACUGCGCAGCUGGAGUGCCGGAGGGGUAAGCGGAAUUCCUAGUGUAGCGGUGAAAUGCGUAGAUAUUAGGAGGAACACCAGUGGCGAAGGCGGCUUACUGGACGGCAACUGACGCUGAGGCUCGAAAGCGUGGGGAGCAAACA